CGGAGGGAGCUAGCGUUGUUCGGAAUUACUGGGCGUAAAGCGCACGUAGGCGGCUUUGUAAGUUAGAGGUGAAAGCCCGGGGCUCAACUCCGGAACUGCCUUUAAGACUGCAUCGCUUGAAUCCGGGAGAGGUGAGUGGAAUUCCGAGUGUAGAGGUGAAAUUCGUAGAUAUUCGGAAGAACACCAGUGGCGAAGGCGGCUCACUGGACCGGUAUUGACGCUGAGGUGCGAAAGCGUGGGGAGCAAAACAGGAUUAGAUACCCUGGUAGUCCACGCCGUAAACGAUGAUAACUAGCUGUCAGGGCCCUUAGGGUUUUGGUGGCGCAGCUAACGCAUUAAGUUAUCCGCCUGGGGAGUACGGCCGCAAGGUUAA
Molecule: ribosomal RNA, 373 nt
Filed under: uncultured organism
Description: bacterial SSU rRNA
Rfam family: Bacterial small subunit ribosomal RNA
Source: RNAcentral